This 501-nucleotide ribosomal RNA is filed under the name uncultured bacterium. RNAcentral's name for it is "partial 16S ribosomal RNA". It matches the Rfam family "Bacterial small subunit ribosomal RNA", at positions 30 to 523 of the family's 1533-position model. The record is from RNAcentral.
AUUGAACGCUGGCGGCAGGCUUAACACAUGCAAGUCGAGCGGAGAUGAGGUGCUUGCACCUUAUCUUAGCGACGGACGGGUGAGUAAUGCUUAGGAAUCUGCCUAUUAGUGGGGGACAACAUUCCGAAAGGAAUGCUAAUACCGCAUACGUCCUACGGGAGAAAGCAGGGGAUCUUCGGACCUUGCGCUAAUAGAUGGGCCUAAGUCGGAUUAGCUAGUUGGUGGGGUAAAGGCCUACCAAGGCGACGAUCUGUAGCGGGUCUGAGAGGAUGAUCCGCUAAGCUUGGACUGGGACACGGCCCAGACUCCUACGGGGAGCAGCAGUGGGGAGUAUUGGACAAUGGGGGGAACCCUGAUCCAGCCAUGCCGCGUGUGUGAAGAAGGCCUUAUGGUUGUAAAGCACUUUAAGCGAGGAGGAGGCUACUGAGACUAAUACUCUUGGAUAGUGGACGUUACUCGCAGAAUAAGCACCGGCUAACUCUGUGCCAGCCGCCGCCGUAA